Molecule: ribosomal RNA, 248 nt
Filed under: uncultured bacterium
Lineage: Bacteria
Description: partial 16S ribosomal RNA
Rfam family: Bacterial small subunit ribosomal RNA
Source: RNAcentral
AAGAUGGCGACCGGCGCACGGGUGAGUAACACGUAUCCAACCUGCCGAUAACUCCGGAAUAGCCUUUCGAAAGAAAGAUUAAUACCGGAUGGCAUACGAAUAUCGCAUGAUAUUUUUAUUAUAGAAUUUCGGUUAUCGAUGGGGAUGCGUUCCAUUAGUUUGUUGGCGGGGUAACGGCCCACCAAGACUACGAUGGAUAGGGGUUCUGAGAGGAAGGUCCCCCACAUUGGAACUGAGACACGGUCCAA